AAUACCCGCUGAACUUUAAGCAUAUCAUUUAGCGGAGGA
This 39-nucleotide ribosomal RNA is filed under the name Radopholus similis. RNAcentral's name for it is "partial 28S ribosomal RNA". The record is from RNAcentral. Lineage: Eukaryota; Metazoa; Nematoda; Chromadorea; Rhabditida; Pratylenchidae.